Molecule: ribosomal RNA, 253 nt
Filed under: uncultured bacterium
Lineage: Bacteria
Description: partial 16S ribosomal RNA
Rfam family: Bacterial small subunit ribosomal RNA
Source: RNAcentral
UACGAAGGGGGCUAGCGUUGCUCGGAAUCACUGGGCGUAAAGGGCGCGUAGGCGGCCGAUCAAGUCAGGGGUGAAAGCCUGUGGCUCAACCACAGAAUUGCCUUUGAUACUGUUUGGCUAGAGACCGGAAGAGGUCAGUGGAACUGCGAGUGUAGAGGUGAAAUUCGUAGAUAUUCGCAAGAACACCAGUGGCGAAGGCGGCUGACUGGUCCGGUUCUGACGCUGAGGCGCGAAAGCGUGGGGAGCAAACAGG